GACGAACGCUGGCGGCGUGCUUAACGCAUGCAAGUCGAGCGGUAAGGCCCUUUCGGGGGUACGACGAGCGGCGAACGGGUGAGUAACACGUGGGUGACCUGCCCUCAGCUCUGGGAUAAGCCUGGGAAACUGGGUCUAAUACUGGAUAUGACUCCACGGUGCAUGUCGUGGGGUGGAAAGCCUUGUGCGGCUGAGGAUGGGCCCGCGGCCUAUCAGCUUGUUGGUGGGGGAUGGCCUACCAAGGCGACGACGGGUAGCCGGCCUGAGAGGGCGACCGGCCACACUGGGACUGAGACACGGCCCAGACUCCUACGGGAGGCAGCAGUGGGGAAUCUUGCGCAAUGGGCGAAAGCCUGACGCAGCGACGCCGCGUGAGGGAUGACGGCCUGGUGUAAC
Molecule: ribosomal RNA, 396 nt
Filed under: uncultured bacterium
Lineage: Bacteria
Description: bacterial SSU rRNA
Rfam family: Bacterial small subunit ribosomal RNA
Source: RNAcentral